RNAcentral lists this ribosomal RNA (378 nucleotides) under uncultured bacterium. RNAcentral's name for it is "bacterial SSU rRNA". It matches the Rfam family "Bacterial small subunit ribosomal RNA", at positions 30 to 416 of the family's 1533-position model. The record is from RNAcentral.
AUUGAACGCUGGCGGCAUGCCUAACACAUGCAAGUCGAACGGGUUGUAGCAAUACAACUAGUGGCGGACGGGUGAGGAAUACAUAGGAAUUUGCCUUUAGGUGGGGGAUAGCCCGGGGAAACUCGGAGUAAUACCGCAUGAUGUCGCAAGACCAAAGCCGGGGAUCGCAAGACCUGGCGCCUUUAGAGAAGCCUAUGUCUGAUUAGCUAGUUGGUAGGGUAAUGGCCUACCAAGGCGACGAUCAGUAACUGGUCUGAGAGGACGAUCAGUCACACCGGAACUGAGACACGGUCCGGACUCCUACGGGAGGCAGCAGUGGGGAAUAUUGGACAAUGGGCGAAAGCCUGAUCCAGCAAUGCCGCGUGUGUGAAGAAGGCC